This 445-nucleotide ribosomal RNA is filed under the name uncultured bacterium. Its description in RNAcentral is "partial 16S ribosomal RNA". It matches the Rfam family "Bacterial small subunit ribosomal RNA", at positions 29 to 523 of the family's 1533-position model. The record is from RNAcentral.
AACGAACGCUGGCGGCAGGCUUAACACAUGCAAGUCGAGCGCCCGCAAGGGAGCGGCAGACGGGUGAGUAACGCGUGGGAAUCUACCCAGUUCUACGGAAUAACCCAGGGAAACUUAGACUAAUACCGUAUACGCCCUACGGGGGAAAGAUUUAUCGGAAUUGGAUGAGCCCGCGUUGGAUUAGCUAGUUGGUGAGGUAAUGGCUCACCAAGGCGACGAUCCAUAGCUGGUCUGAGAGGAUGAUCAGCCACACUGGGACUGAGACACGGCCCAGACUCCUACGGGAGGCAGCAGUGGGGAAUAUUGGACAAUGGGCGCAAGCCUGAUCCAGCCAUACCGCGUGAGUGAUGAAGGCCUUAGGGUUGUAAAGCUCUUUCAGUGGGGAAGAUAAUGACGGUACCCACAGAAGAAGCCCCGGCUAACUUCGUGCCAGCCGCCGCGGUAA